UGCUCAAUUCUCUGUAGCCUUGUUUGUUUCCGAUAAGUUGUUGCAAAUGGUAGCAUUCGAUUGUGCAGCCAGCAGUUGGAGGGAAGAUUCUACAUUCCAGGAAAUGGAGGCCUUUGAAGCUGCGAAGAUGGACAGCCUUCGCACCGGAAGGAAUUAUGAGGGUCAAGACAGCAGCCUCUGGAGCCAAACACCAACAUCCACAAUCCUAGCUCCAGCUUCCUGGCUCUGUGCACUUAUGAAGGUCAACUGUUCAUCCCUGUGAAUCAGUCUCUUCAUUUAAAGAACUGGGGCAAAGACAACAUCCUACACAUGUUAGUAAACAAAUGGUGAAACUUCUGUGUGACCCACCCACUUCUAUUUUCCCCCAAAAAACCUAGCAGCUGGAUUUUGAACAGAAUAUCGCUGCAUUAUUCACAAUUACACACUAUGGAAGCAGCCUAAUUCAAUGGAUGAAUGGAUAAAGAAAAAGGGUAGAUAACGAGAGAUUACUGUUCAGCCUGUGAAAAGAAGAAAAUCACACAUUUGGGGCAGUAUGCAUGAGCCUAGAGGAUAUCAUGCUAAGUGAAAGAUGUUAUUUCAUUUCCACGUGAAGUCUUAAAGUGUGCAAUUCAAGAGACUGGGACACAGUCGUGGUCACCAAGAGACGAGAAAUGAGGGAAAGAGAAAGGAAGGAAAAAGAAGAAAAGGAAACGAUAAUCAAACGAGGUGAUACAUAUGCUAAUGAGCUCGAAGGGGUGGUUAUUUCACAUCAAACAUAGAACUUUUACAUCAGUCAUGAUUCAACAAAAUGAAAGAAGCCUUUGACUUAAGUGUACUAUAUUUAGUAAUAAAAACUGAGGAUGACAAGUUAAAUUUGAAUCUCAGACAGACAACCAAUAUAUCUUAGUGUAUGUAUGUCUUCUGCAAUGUUUGGAAUAUACUUGUACUUUAUAGUAUGUAUAAAAUUCAAACUUAACAGGGUAUUAUGUUAACUGGCAACCAGUCCUACUUUAUCUGAAAUUCUGCUUGCUAUGUGAAGCCACACCUGGUAACAACAGUGAUAACCUUUACUGAGUGCUUACUGAGCACCCAAAUAUUUGCUAGACAUUUUGCAUGCUCCUGGUUUGAUACCUAAAAUAAAUGUAGCCCCCUUUUCCUCUAUGUUUUCUUAGAUCAGGUAUCACUUGUGGCAUUUAUCAGUGUAUGGGGCAUUAUCUGUCUCUUCCACUAGAUCAGAAACCUAAAAGUUGAAAUAUUUUACUUGUUUUUAUAAUCUCUGCAAAAGUUACAGCUUCUCAUUGAACACGCUAUCAUGAGUACCAUCCUCUGUUGCAAACGGAGCAUCUCGGGCAUUUGAAGCUUGCCACAGACAGAACAAAGCUCUCAUCGAGGCCAUGUCUAUCUACUCUGAGGCAGGUUCCUCAGCUUUCUAAAGAUGGCUUCAGAGCUACUGAGAUUCCAGAUAGCAGCAAUUCCUAGGGAAGCUGUAUUUUGAGACAGGUUCUCACUGUGUGGCUGAGGUACAGGCUGCUCUUGAAUUUAGGAUCCGCCUGCCUUAACCUUCUUAAAUUGGAAACUAUGGAAUUGCUGCUUUACAUCACUGCUGGCUUUUGGUCAUAUUCAUUCCAACCCUCCCCCCCCAACUCAGAUUAUCAGAUUCAAAGCCAUGAGGAUUAUUCAUCUUCCCAGCAAGAAUCAACUCAAAUUUGUCAUUGUUGUUGGAACAAUUUUCUACAUUCUCUCAUGUCAUGUGACCCUCACCACAGCUUUGCAAUACAAACAAAACAAACACGAAGAAAGAUAUCUCCAGUCCGAAGUCUCCUCAAUGUUAGCUCUCUUCUUUUUUCUUGUGACAGUUUAACUAUGUGUCCUGGAUAAUUCCAGAGUGGAAUCUGCCCUGCCAUGUUUAUUUAAGGAGAGUCAACAUUCAGACUUAUGGAGUCCCCUCCACUUGCCAGUAAGAGAAACUCUAGUGUUGACCUGCUAGGUAGGAGCGAGUGCCAAAGACCCGGUGUCUAGCUUUGAGAGACGCAACAGUGACCCAGUUAGAUUUGAGUGAAUGCCGUAAGCCUGACCUUAACUCGAUCUCUGCCUUCGGUGCUUCCCAGUGAAACUAAAGUGAACAAGUUUUACUCUGUGCCAGCAGCCUUCCCAGAAGGCUGUACUGAUAGCUCCAACGAGUGGGUCUGUGACAUUUCACAACGAUCCAAUCAUGGCUGCAGUGCCAUUGAACCAAAGCUUGUGCUCACAAAGCCAGUAAGUAUUCAUUUGUAUUUAGCCUGUUUUUCACCCCUUCUUAAAGGAAAUAACAAUCAACAGGCCUCUGCGGUAUAAAUCAUGCUGGAGCGUGGUUAUGAGCUGCGUUCAUUCUGUGGAAUAGACUAAUUCAGUGACAGUGCUCUCCCUCAAAAGAAUCUGCAGAACUUUGCCUUCCCCCAAAUCAAGAUCAUCAAGGCUAUGUUCUCAGACCACACUAAAUUUUGGCAUUUAAAUACUAAAUUUGUAAAUUAAAUUUAAAAUAUUUGAAAAAUUCUAAGUUUGGAAGUAAAUACCAUCCACAUUAUAACUCUUGGACUCAAAGAGGGAAAUUAUAAAGAUUUCAAGUUGGAGAAAGGUCUCCAAAUAACAACAAAGUUACCGGACAAGGGGUGUAGCUGAUGGGUUGAGCUUUCUUAGAAUAGAUGAGGUGCUGGGCUGAAUGUUCAUACCACCAGAUAGAAAAGAGGAAGAGAAGGGGCAUGGGGAAGAAAGAAGAAAGUAACAGAAAUGAAGAUUUCAGAGACUCUCAAACUGUUUGUGAAGAAGAACCAUUUCUUAUUAAAGUUCUACUCAGUUAUAGAUGUAUUAUAAAAUCCAGUAAGAUUAAAAACAAAACUACAUGAAACA
Grammomys surdaster is the source of this 2865-nucleotide long non-coding RNA. RefSeq lists it as uncharacterized. The transcript is spliced from 5 exons. The record is from RefSeq and is a predicted model, not a curated record. NCBI's taxonomy places the organism in Eukaryota, Metazoa, Chordata, Mammalia, Rodentia, Muridae.